CCCUCAAAAUACACACAUACCCAGUGUAGAUUAUUGCGUUGCGUAUUUUGAUCGUAAGCUUAACUAAGGUGUUAAAGAUAGAACUACGUCUUUUUAGGAAAGUAUUUAAACAAAUUCUAAAAACGUUCUACAGAUUCCUAGACUUAUAGGUUUGUCUUUUUUCAGUACAUAAAACAAACGAAAUUCCUAGUGAUUUUUCACAGGCAAAUCCCGAAUUUGGUUAAAAUGCCAAUGAUGUGAAAGUGUAUGAUUAGAAUUUGGUGUUAAUUAAAAAGUAUUUCGAUAUAUCCUCAUUGAAAAGUACAACGGUCAGCGACGAUUGGUCAUCAUGGACAACAUUAUUUUUUUCUGUCAAUAGCUAGAAUGACGGAGCUGGCGUAUGGGUCUUCAUGGCUUCCGUUUCUCUGUCGAAUUUGAAUAUAGAUCUCUAAUUUCGUUAUCUUCAAAUUUUUCGAUAGAUCUGCAUUUUAAUUAGAUUGUCCGUUUUGACACCGAAAGCUACCUACUUGGUUUAUAUGUGCAUUAAAACAACUGCACACAAAAUCGUAUCUUUUCAAUUUUCCUUGGCCCCAUAAAUGCGCGAGGUUUGGCUAGCCACUAAACCAGGUUCAACCCACCGUUUAUCUUAAAGUGUCCUGUCAAAGUCAGGAAAAUGGCAGUUUUUAUCUUAUAGUUCGUUUCUGUAUGUUUUGCAUUGUCUUUGUUGUGUACCCUCGGUCUUAAUUUGUUACCCGGAUUUGUUUUCUUUCGAUCGAUUUAUUACUCUCGAACAGUGGUAUACUACUAUUGCCUUUAUUACAGUUCUUGAGUAUUACAAUUGUUCAGACAGAAGUUUAAUAUUUCGUGUUUUAGGUUUAUGUUUUUUUUUUAUAUUUUACCUUAUAAAAGUUGCAUAAAUAUCCUCAUUUCAAUCACGCAUUAGUAUGUAUGUUGAUGUUCUAGUUGUUGGCACAUUAUUUUUCCUUACAUCUGUAAGUGAUCCUAAUAUUCUGGGUCUUUUCGCUCGAAAUCAAUAUUACAAACAUUGUUGCAUCAAACUUCAAUAUCUUAACUUGUAUAAUUAAGAAUGUAAAUAAUACUUUUCUUAAGAAAUUAAGUAUAAUUUAACAAAUGCCC
RNAcentral lists this long non-coding RNA (1116 nucleotides) under Mytilus galloprovincialis (Mediterranean mussel). The record is from RNAcentral. Lineage: Eukaryota; Metazoa; Mollusca; Bivalvia; Mytilida; Mytilidae.